CUUGGCUGAGUUUGAGAAGAAGUAUGAAGUGCUUCGUUUUGAGGAUGAUUGGGAUGCGGUGAAGGUCUCAAUUGUAUACUUUGUUGAAUUUAUACUUUACGGGCGAGAAAGAAGCGUGAAGUACGACAGUAGUCUGCUUGGAAUAGUAGAUGACUUCGGAAGCGUGAAGUACGAAAGACCGCAUACUCCAUCAGGAAUAAAGCCUGGUUCCGCAACCUAUUGAGGCCAGGUAACUGGUGCACAGCCGAGGUCGUCGAUGAGCUAUUCAUGUUAGUGCGGAAGAAGCUAGAGCAGCGGCCUGACCUAUGUUCUCGGAAGUUCACAACUGGCGAUCUAGUUCUUGCGAACUACUUCAGACGUAAGGAUGGUCUAUAUGCAUGCAUGCAAUCUGAUAGUUCAUUGCCUUCAAAAGUAGCGGUCGAGUACGAUUGUGACGGGAGUGACAAGAGCAUCAUGGGUUAUACUGACGGCACUCAUAUGGACUAUCCUUUGAGGUGGAUGGAAGUGGACGCCAUAUAUCUCCCAUUUAACAUAGGGGCAAGCACUGGGUAAUGGUAUGUAUCGACCUCGAGGAAGGCGAGAUCGUAGUAUGGGACUCCUUGAAUUCAAUGACCACGGAUCAUGCUAUAGAGGAUCAUUUGAAGGUAAUGCACACCAUCAUCCCAGUAAUGCUCUUCAAAUGUGAUGUUAUGAAAGUCCGACCCAAUCUACCGAUCCAACCAUGGCGGAUUCAACGAGUUAAGUCAGCUCCACAGCAGAUUGGCGGUGGCGACUGUGGGAUUUUCUGCGUCAAGUAUUUUGAGUACGAUGUAACCGGGUCCGCAUUGGAUACUCUAAGACAGUCUAGGAUUGCAUACUUUAGGAGGCAACUUGCUUUUCAACUUUGGGCGAAUAGACCUAUUUAUUGAUAUUCCA
This is a non-coding RNA of Momordica charantia (bitter melon), 915 nucleotides long. The record is from RefSeq and is a predicted model, not a curated record. Lineage: Eukaryota; Viridiplantae; Streptophyta; Magnoliopsida; Cucurbitales; Cucurbitaceae.